CCCUUAGAUGUCCUGGGCUGCACGCGCGCUACACUGAUGUGUCCAGUAAGCACCUAACCUCUUCCGAAAGGAACGGGUAACCUUUGCAAAGCACAUCGUGAUGGGGAUAGAUUAUUGCAAUUAUUAGUCUUGAACGAGGAAUUCCUAGUAAGCACAAGUCAUCAGCUUGUGUUGAUUACGUCCCUGCCCUUUGUACACACCGCCCGUCGCUCCUACCGAUUGAAUGUUCCGGUGAGCUCUUCGGACUGCGCGGUCUGCAGUUUCUGCGUUCCGUGCGCAAAGUUGCGCAAACCUUAACAUUUAGAGGAAGGAGAAGUCGUAACA
RNAcentral lists this ribosomal RNA (324 nucleotides) under uncultured eukaryote. RNAcentral's name for it is "partial 18S ribosomal RNA". It matches the Rfam family "Eukaryotic small subunit ribosomal RNA", at positions 1470 to 1796 of the family's 1831-position model. The record is from RNAcentral.